This 664-nucleotide unclassified non-coding RNA is filed under the name Hevea brasiliensis (rubber tree). Lineage: Eukaryota; Viridiplantae; Streptophyta; Magnoliopsida; Malpighiales; Euphorbiaceae. The record is from RNAcentral.
UAGCAGGAGCUUUCCAGUUCCUAGGCCUAAGCAAUGUAGAAAUAAUCUUUUUAUGCAAGCCCUGAGGAGACUUUUGCCUGGUGAACUUUUUGGCAGCAUAUGUUGUGUCAUUGUUCACAGGAACCAUCCUUCUGCUUUCAUUUUCAAAUUGAUCUAGUGACAACUGCCUCACAAUCCCACCGAGGUUCCCCACAACCUCUUUAGCUACCACAACAGCUCUAGGAUGAAGGCGAACAUCAGCCUCAGCAUCACUACCAUCUGAACUUGCUUCUGCAGCCUGCGAGUUAUCGUCAGAUACAGAUGUCUCUUCAGCAGAAUUGGAAGAUGCUGCCUGAGCAGCUUGCCAAACAGCAUUAGCUGCCUCAGCUUCAGCAGCAGAAGCCUCCCUAAGUUUCUCCAUAGAAUUUUUAUCCAUACUGAUACCACCAGAAAAAGGGACCUCUUGCCCAUCAUUUGCAAUUGCUUCAUAGGGAUUAGCGUUAGAAUGAUUUAGUCUAGGACUUGUUAUAGUUGAGGCUUGCUCAGAUGUUAAUACAGGAGAAUUAAUGUCCGACUGAAAUGGUGAAUUUUCAGCGACUAGAAAAUCAUCUAGCAGCACAUCUCCCCUCAGACCGCCAUAAACAUAUAUUCGAACACCAACAGAAGCAGAUGCAUGGCGACAACG